AAGGACGAGAGAGAGCCACAACCCUCCCAGCACCCGCCACACCACCAACGUCACAGCUUCCUGUCUCGUCAACGCGGGGUAACAGGGUGUCAUCAAUAUCCAUUAAACAUCAAUAAAACCUCCUAUAGUUGAUCUGCUGACGUCACCUACUGUUUUUAUGACGUCACAAGCCGUUUGUAAACCAUGACGUCAUCAACAGCAGCUGACUUUCCGGACGCCGCCAUCACAUUAUCUUACAUUAGUAUACUAAGUCAUAUCCUUUAAAACAAAAAUAAAACGAUAACAACUCACUGCAUAUAUUCAAUUAAAACUCGUAUAACAAUUUUUAAACGAAGUAUUUUAGUGAAUAAUUCGUAAAUCGCUUUUUUUAAUUCUGUCUGCCGCUUAAAGAUGAUCCCGUUUACAACCAGGAAUUUAUUUUUGUACUUGGAGAAGGUUACAGACUCUGGGGAAUUAUUUAUACAGCAACCAAAAUACAGUACUGUAUGGUGAAAUGGUGUGUUGUUUGUUUAAAAAUAAUGUAUCGUGUAGAAAAAUAUAACUAAAAAAGUAACUAGAGAAAUUUAAUGAUAAAAAGCUGUCAAACCACAAGGAGGAAAUGAUAUUGAACUCAUAUGAACAAUAUCGUCUGUAAACGAAUGAACAGUUAUAAAUUGAACACGAACAAAUUAAACUUUUUUCUCUAGUGAUGGAGAAGAACAGAAAGUUACUUGAAAGUGUGAGACAAAAAUAGAGUAUUUUUUGUGUACGGAGUAGUUAAGUAUUGUGGUAACGACACAAGACCCAAUUGAAGUGACACAACCAGGUGACAAGAAUCGUCUAGAUGCCUUUAAUUAAGAGUACGAGAACGGUGUUGGUGUGGGUGAGUGUGUACAGUGUAUUGGUCCUGUUGGUGUUGGGGGAGUCAUUGACAGCAGCGAAAGACAAUUAUGGAGGGGAUAGCGACAACACCUCAGACUCGACAGAAGCAACUGGGAAGAACUCGUGUCACACCGUCCACCACCAGGAAGGGAUCCAUCUGGUGUCUAUACGGUGGCAGGAGGUGGGCGUUUACUACACCAUCACCGCCUUCGUCAUCAUCGCCGGCUUCACUAAGCUAGCCUUCCACCACCUACACUGGCUGUCUCACCGAGUGCCGGAGUCUUGUUUGCUGGUCGUCUUGGGUAUAAUUCUCGGUGUCAUCUUCUACUUCUUCACACAAGAUGAAGUCACGGAGAAUGUUUGUCACACCCGAAUUGAGUUGCCGCACUUUACCUCUGAUAAGUUCUUCUUCGUCCUCCUGCCUCCUAUUGUGUUGGAGUCGGCGUACUCGCUCCACGACCGCUCCUUCUUCGACAACCUGGGCACCGUUCUGGUCUUCGCUAUUGUUGGGACGAUGUUCAAUAUAUUUGCUAUUGGUCCUUCGCUCUAUGGAUUAAGAGCUGCUGGUGCUAUGGGCGACAUCACCUUCUCGUUUACGGAGAUCUUGGUGUUCUCGUCUCUCAUCUCUGCCGUGGACCCAGUGGCUGUGUUGGCCAUUUUCCAGGAGCUGGGUGUUAACAAAGACCUCUAUUUCCUUAUCUUUGGUGAAUCUCUCCUCAACGAUGGUGUGACGGUGGUGGUGUACAACACUAUGCAGGCCUUCAUGUCCAUGACUAGGGUCACACUGGACCAGUACGCUCUAGCCAUCGCUGCGUUCCUCAUUGUUGUGUGUGGAGGCAUUGCCAUCGGCAUCAUCUUUGGGUGUCUCACGGCCCUCGUCACCAAGUCUACAACGGACGUCAGAGUGGUUGAGCCCCUGGCACUGUUGGGUCUGGCCUACCUGAGCUACCUCACCGCUGAGCUGUUUCACUUCUCAGGUAUUAUCAGUCUUAUUGUCUGCGGUCUUCUUCAAGCACAUUAUGCUUUCGCGAACAUCUCUCAGAAGUCUUACACCUGUGUUAAAUACUUCACCAAGAUGGCUAGUGCGACGAGUGACACAGUUAUCUUCAUGUUCCUGGGGAUGGUGCUGGUGAGUGACGAACAUGAGUGGCACACCGGCUUUGUCCUCUGGAGCGUCACUUUGUGUUUUAUCUACAGGUUUAUCGGUGUUUUUGUGCUCACCUUUCUGAUGAACAACUACCGGGUUAAGAAGAUUGGCCUGGAGGAGCAGUUCAUCGCGGCGUACGGGGGGCUGCGGGGGGCCGUGGCCUUCUCCCUGGUCAACAUGCUGGACAAGUCCUUGGCUCCUCGCAGGAUAUUUGUCACCACCACCCUGAUUGUUAUUCUCUUCACUAUCUUUAUACAGGGAAUGACCAUCAAGCCCCUGGUCAACCUCCUCCAGAUACAAAAACAUAAAUCUGGGAAGAGGAACCUGAGUGAGGAGAUCAACACCACCACCAUGGACCACAUCAUGGCCGGGGUGGAGGAGAUCCUGGGCCAGCACGGAGACUUCUACCUCAGGGAACUAAUGGUGUACUACAAUGACAAAUACCUCAAAAAGUGGUUCCUACGGCCAUCCUGUGAAUCAAAACUCCAAAGACUUUUCGAAAAAAUUGCAAUAUCAGAACAUUAUGCCCACCUGUAUGGUCCUGUGGCCUUGAUCGAGGACAAGGUUACGCCGCUCUGCCCAUCUGUCAAGAGAGAGAGAAAGAUCCGCCCCUCAUCAUUUUCUAUGUCGCACAAGGAUGAAAUUUUGAUAGAACCGAGGUUAAAUCUUGAGGAUGAAGACGGUGAUGUGGAGAUCAUCCCCGGCUUUGUUCACGACGGGAGUGUGGAACUACGGAAGAAGCGCGGGUCUAUCUUGCCCACUAGGAGAAGCAGAGUGGCGUCCUCGAGUUCCGAGGAGUCCACAAGUCACCAGCAGUCGCAUGACGCUCAGGUCCUCCGUAAAGCGUUUAGGAAUAACCCCUAUAAUAAGCAGACUCUGCAGUUGCACCAACACGUCCAAGAUAGACGAGCUCUGCGCUGGGCUCUCAAAAAGUCGAACACCACUGCUGAUGUCAACAGGCAGAGUCAGGCAGGUAACAAAGGUCAAAGUUCAACACGGAGUUCACAGUCACGGAAUGGAGUUUCUGGCAUUGGGACCACACGGCGUGAACCAACCUCACUGACUGGAACUACACACAGUGGAAACUCACGGAAUGAAACCCUUCGCACUAAACAUUAUAGCAAAAGAAAUCACUGAAUGGAAAUGAGAGUCAUAAUACAAGUGCACACGUUAAUCCUUUCUCGUUUCUGAGGAAUGCAUGGGGUUCGUUCUCUGCAUCGAUACGUGACAACCCUCCUCCGUGACGGAAGUUAUUAUUUCAUAGACGCGGGGAUACCAUGAUUACUGUGCUCAUAGUUAUUUUCCUCUUGGUAGUGAACUGCACCUAGAUGACUUUACUUAGCCAAGAUUGUUAUGUAGUCUGUACCGCUGUUUCAUAGGUUUAGCUCUGCUUUAUAUGCUUAUUAUACUUUACUGUCCAUGACUUAGAUUAGUUGUUGAAAAAUCUGCCUCUGCUGUAUUUGUUUAUGCAUUAUUUAUAUCAUGUAAUGUCUCAGCAGUUGGUGGAAGGCUGGACUGUUGAUCCCAGACCCUUGAGUUUAUCAAGGUAAAGGAUCUUACCUGAAGGUUAUACAGCUGUAGUGACAUAAACACAAUAAAUACCUCUGGAAAACAUAUAAAGUCAGGGUUAUAUAUUUAGUGUAAUAUUUGACGUUACCAAAUGUUGAAUCUUCAGAGUCAGUGAGUUUGUAGUGAGUGUUAGAUGUAUUUAAAACUUGUGUACAUAUUGCACCUUACAGUAUAUACAAUACUGUAUAUAUUUUUGAAGAUAUUUAUCUGAUCACUUAAUAAGUGACUGCAAUAAGGUUCAAUAUAAGUCUACAGUCAACAUUGGUCGUUUAUUAAGACUGAUGAAUAAGAGCACCAGUUGGCCCUCAUCAUGGCUGCUCUCUCAACUUUAAGUUGUCACAUUUAUAUAUAUUUCAAUAACACAUCUUGUGUUGGCAACAGUGUACCCAGGACCAGGGAAGGUGUUGUUGUAUGGAUGAUACAAGUAAGUCAAGACUCCUACUGGUCAUAAUAUUACUGGGGCAAAUUUAAUAUUGUCAGUCACACAAAUAUUAUUGGUUUAGUCUGUAUUAAGUAGGGCCUUUAUAAUGUAUGUUGCAAACAGCAGGGGUUCCCAAACUCUGGCCCACAUAUUCCUGGCAGACACGACAACAAACCUUCGGUGAUAAAGAUAUGCCACGUACAAAAUUAUGAUGGAACACCACAAGCCUGACCAGGCAGGUCAGAUUACACUUGGAUCAGGGAUGUUUGUACGUAUGUAACAAGUCUUCAAAUAUUAAGGCAUUUGAGAUAAAUAUACUCGUCUUCAACGUAAAAGUUUGUACUGUACAGUACAGUAAUGGAGUGAGAUGAUGAUGGUCAAAUUUCUCGUUGGGAGCUUUGUGAGGUCCUACCAAGUGUAGUGUAGUUAAUAUGAAGUGCAAUGAGUAUUUUACACAUUUCCACAAGCAUUUUCCAAACCUUUAGAUUCCUCCAGUAAUCCUUCAAAGCUCACAUAAACAAGUCCUCUCUUAUACAUUAACUGGCACAGUGCUGGCAGACCUUGAGGCAAAUAACACCUUGAUAAGUCUAUAAAACAAGUUGACUCAUCAACUUUUUCUUUGACUUACCGUUACUUUAAGAGUUCAGGGCUGAAAUGAUCACAAUAUUAGGGUUCAUAUUGCAUACAGUGUAUGUGAACAGAUAUUCUCCGAGGUGAAGUUUGUGAAGUCACGGCUGAGAUCACGACUGUUGCACCGGACGCUGAGGCUGAGAGUGUCCAACAUCUGCUGCCUCACAUUAAUAGCUCGGUCAGUCAGUGGUCACAGCUCGUGGUUCUCAUCGGGUGGCAGAACAAGUUGAUGUACCGGACACCUUUGUUACUGGUGUACAGAUAUUGAUAGUCUAGUGUUUGACAUUUUGCAUCAAAUAAUCAGUAACUUCGAGCAAGCUGUAAUUAUUCAACUAAGCAUUUAUGAAAUGUGGUGGUAAUAAUUUAUUGUGCAUAAUCAUGAUAAGAGUAUCAUUAAAAUAAGACAAAUUUAUUUGAUGAAAGCAAACUAUCUGAGCCACAAGUUCAGUUCAUAUUAUGUUAAGUCUUCCCUCAUGGUGUGACCCAGAAGAGUUUUGGGACCCCUGAGAUACUGUACCGUGUGUACUUAUAACUGCAACAACAUGAUGUAAAUUUUGGACCAUCAAGUCAGAGCAAAAGGCUGUGUCAGUCUUCAUGCACAGUACAUUACAGUAUUGUUUGCUCUUUUACAUUAUUCUGUACAAGUAUAUAAAAAUGCAACAUCAAUACUGAUGAUAAGAUGGUCUAUGGGUUUAUUGAUUGUAUUUCAGCAUUAUAAAAAAAAUAAUAAAACAAUGUGAAUACCCGGUAAUUGUGUGAAAAAAUUAAUAGUUAAUAAUGUAGAGUAUAUACAUAACUGUUAGUCUAGUCUGUCUGUGGUCAUGUUGACCUUCCACUUUGUCGAUGAGCAAAGUUCCUGAAGGAGUACCAGUUACCCUAGAUGAAGUACCUGCCCUUAACUCCUCAUCCUCUAAAUUAUCACUUGCUUGUGUUCAAGUAAUUCUUAACUCCUGGUGAAAGCAGUUAACAAGUCUUCAUGUGAGGUGUGACCCUCAUCCAGUGCUGCCAGCAGCCAGUCAACAGCUCCACUACAAGUACAACCCCAACCUGGUGGGGGAGGAAGACCAGGAACUGGCUGAGCAUCUUCACCGUCGUCACCUCAACGCUCGCAGGAUGACU
Molecule: unclassified non-coding RNA, 5747 nt
Filed under: Homarus americanus (American lobster)
Lineage: Eukaryota; Metazoa; Arthropoda; Malacostraca; Decapoda; Nephropidae
Description: sodium/hydrogen exchanger 2-like, transcript variant X2
Source: RNAcentral